GAUGAACGCUGGCGGCGUGCUUAACACAUGCAAGUCGAACGAGAAGUGAAGACGGAAACCUUCGGGCGGAAGGCUUUAUUUCGAGUGGCGGACGGGUGAGUAACGCGUGGGUAACCUGCCUCAUACAGGGGGAUAACAGUUGGAAACGACUGUUAAUACCGCAUAAGACCACAGCACCGCAUGGUGCGGGGGUAAAAACUCCGGUGGUAUGAGAUGGACCCGCGUUCGAUUAGCCAGUUGGCGGGGUAACGGCCCACCAAAGCGACGAUCGAUAGCCGAUCUGAGAGGAUGACCGGCCACAUUGGGACUGAGACACGGCCCAAACUCCUACGGGAGGCAGCAGUGGGGAAUAUUGCACAAUGGGGGAAACCCUGAUGCAGCGACGCCGCGUGAGUGAAGAAGUAUUUCGGCAUGUAAAGCUCUAUCAGCAGGGAAGAAAAUGACGGUACCUGAGUAAGAAGCCCCGGCUAACUACGUG
RNAcentral lists this ribosomal RNA (478 nucleotides) under uncultured bacterium. RNAcentral describes it as "partial 16S ribosomal RNA". It matches the Rfam family "Bacterial small subunit ribosomal RNA", at positions 28 to 507 of the family's 1533-position model. The record is from RNAcentral.